CAAAACAACUCAGAGAGAGAGAGAGAGAGAGAGAGAGAGAGAGAGAGAGAGAGAGAGAGAGAGAGAGAGAUUGUGGUAUAGAGGUUCGAAGAGUUGGAGACGACUCACUACAGAUGCUAAAGAAGGAGAGGCGCGCAACGGUUGUCUCCAAAUCUUUUCGUCGCUGUUGUCGAGUUUUAGAGGCAUUCUUUGCUAAAACUCUCAAUGGAAACAACAAGAGAUGGCCACAGGAGCAGUUGUUCCCUGCAACAGCAAGAGAGUCACAAUAUCCAAUGGCGAGAUAACGCUGUCAUUAGCUGGACUUGAGACAUUUGGAUUUUAAUUUCAUUGAAUCUAAAGCGGAGUUUUCUUUUGGAACCAAUUUGGAUUAUGGAUUCGGAUUGCUGAAAAACAUUUUGCUCUGGCUGCCGGAGUCCCGACUCCGUAGCGCAAAGAGAGAGUGAGAGAGCGCUUAUUAUUCUACUUCUUCACACGCCCACAGGUCGAUCUAAUUUUUCCUUCUUCUCGACUCACAUAUUUCAUGGCAAUGAUUUCCAUAGAAGUUUUUGUGAUUAAUUACUAUUCUGCCAGAUUCAUAUAUCCAAGAAACGUAUAGGUGUUACCUUUGUGAUAAUGUUUUUUCUAGUUUGUUUUUUUUUUUUUUGUUAAUUCUACGGGACUGUUAAUUCAUUUUUAUCAUAGACUGUUUUUGUUUGUUUUUUGAAUUUUCUUGUUGCAACGAAAAAAAAAAAACUACACACGGUCAUCUGUUUUGAUUCUUUCCUAAACAGGUGUUUUUUCUAUUUUGAAUCAUUGAGAAAUAUCAAGCUAAAAUAAAUCUACGAGUGUAAGUCGAAAAUGGAUGCUAUGUAGUAAAUUUAACUUUCUUUUUGAAUUCUUUCAUAUGUUCCAUAUACCCCGAAGGAGUUUUUUACAGGGAAAUCAACAUCUGAGUGUUGGGACUUUCAUUUGCUGCAGUCAUGAAAUUUAAAGCUGAACAAAAAAGGGUACGAAUUUCUCAGUAAAUUAUUGCAUGCUCUUUUGUGGAUUAAUUGCUCGUCUAUUGCUUUGAUGUAGUUUGGUGACAUUAUUUAGCUCUCUUUUUUCAACCAAAUCUUGGUAUUCUUAUUUUUGUGUGGAUGAUCUCACGAAGUGAGGAAGUAUAUGCAUUGCCAUGCAGAAAAAGGGACUGAAUUCAUUUACUGAUUACUUUAGUAGUAUGGGUCAACUUUGGUGUGAUUGAUGUAGCACGAAAACGAUAUAGAAUAAAACUUUUUGCCGAUACAAUUCUUUCACAGCCUUGGUUUUUGUUAGAACCAAAGGAUGUGCACCUAAGUUUAAACAUUUUCGACAAAAAAAAAAACAAAUGGUCCAGUUUAAUGUCUCUAACAAUGAAAUCCUGAAUAAUUAAUUUGUGUUUCUGCACACUUUUCUCCCCUUUUGAUUUUGUAUUCAGUAGACAUAAAUAAUUACUUGAUUAAUAUGAGAUCCUAAAAGGAUAAGUAAACUACAUAGUUAAGUAUUUGGAUGAUAUGUACAUGUUCUACUCUCUCUCUCUCUCUCUCUCUCUCUCUCUCUCUCUCUCUCUCUCUCUCUCUCUCUCUC
Molecule: long non-coding RNA, 1584 nt
Organism: Carya illinoinensis
Lineage: Eukaryota; Viridiplantae; Streptophyta; Magnoliopsida; Fagales; Juglandaceae
Exons: 3
Source: RefSeq, a predicted model, not a curated record